CAGUCGCCGCGGUAAAACGAAGGGGGCUAGCGUUGUUCGGAUUAACUGGGCGUAAAGGGUGCGUAGGCGGGUCUUUAAGUCAGAGGUGAAAUCCUGGAGCUCAACUCCAGAACUGCCUUUGAUACUGAGGAUCUUGAGUUCGGGAGAGGUGAGUGGAACUGCGAGUGUAGAGGUGAAAUUCGUAGAUAUUCGCAAGAACACCAGUGGCGAAGGCGGCCAUCUGGGACAACACUGACGCUGAGGCACGAAAGCGUGGGGAGCAAACAGGAUUAGAUACCCCCGUAGUCCCUGUCUCUUAUAC
RNAcentral lists this ribosomal RNA (301 nucleotides) under uncultured bacterium. Its description in RNAcentral is "partial 16S ribosomal RNA". It matches the Rfam family "Bacterial small subunit ribosomal RNA", at positions 509 to 807 of the family's 1533-position model. The record is from RNAcentral.